RNAcentral lists this ribosomal RNA (440 nucleotides) under uncultured bacterium. RNAcentral describes it as "partial 16S ribosomal RNA". It matches the Rfam family "Bacterial small subunit ribosomal RNA", at positions 338 to 795 of the family's 1533-position model. The record is from RNAcentral.
CCUACGGGAGGCAGCAGUGGGGGAUAUUGCACAAUGGGGGGAACCCUGAUGCAGCGACGCCGCGUGGGUGAAGAAGCGCCUCGGCGCGUAAAGCCCUGUCAGCAGGGAAGAAAAUGACGGUACCUGACGAAGAAGCCCCGGCUAACUACGUGCCAGCAGCCGCGGUAAUACGUAGGGGGCAAGCGUUAUCCGGAUUUACUGGGUGUAAAGGGGGCGCAGACGGCAAUGCAAGCCAGGAGGGAAAGCCCGGGGCCCAACCCCGGGACUGCUCUGGGAACUGCGUGGCUGGAGUGCAGGAGGGGCAGGCGGAAUUCCUGGUGUAGCGGUGAAAUGCGUAGAUAUCAGGAGGAACACCGGUGGCGAAGGCGGCCUGCUGGACUGCAACUGACGUUGAGGCCCGAAAGCGUGGGGAGCAAACAGGAUUAGAUACCCCGGUAGUC